This is a non-coding RNA of Cinara cedri, 207 nucleotides long. NCBI's taxonomy places the organism in Eukaryota, Metazoa, Arthropoda, Insecta, Hemiptera, Aphididae. The record is from the annotation of a GenBank genome assembly.
GUACAUUUUUAAAACACAAUUGUCUACCAUUUUACUACAACAAUAUCAAGAAUUUCUAGAACAAAACGUUUUCCCCCGUUUUGGUAGGAUUUUAUCCUGCGGGCACGCUUGCUGACGUGAUGGUGCUCAUGACAGAUCAGUGGCGGGUUCAAGGGAAAGGUGACCAAGAGGGUCCGCCCUUGAUAGUUAUAUCAUAUUUGUAGUUGU